CGGACGGGUGAGUAACACGUGGAUAACCUACCUAUAAGACUGGGAUAACUUCGUGAAACCGGAGCUAAUACCGGAUAAUAUAUUGAACCGCAUGGUUCAAUAGUGAAAGACGGUUUUGCUGUCACUUAUAGAUGGAUCCUCGCCGCAUUAGCUAGUUGGUAAGGUAACGGCUUACCAAGGCAACGAUGCGUAGCCGACCUGAGAGGGUGAUCGUCCACACUGGAACUGAGACACGGUCCAG
Molecule: ribosomal RNA, 241 nt
Filed under: uncultured Staphylococcus sp.
Lineage: Bacteria; Bacillati; Bacillota; Bacilli; Caryophanales; Staphylococcaceae
Description: partial 16S ribosomal RNA
Rfam family: Bacterial small subunit ribosomal RNA
Source: RNAcentral